CAGUACUCACAGUCAUUCAGGAAGUGAAGGGAGCUUAAUUAAUCUGACAACAGGUCUGAUGUAGGUUCUGUCUUUGAUCUGGAUUUCUGCAGCUCUUACUUUAUUAUCAGCUCCGACCUGGACAGAUUUCACAGUUCCAACAGGCCAGAGUGCCCUGGGGAAUUGUGGAUCAGCAAUCAUAACCACUGUCCCUACUGUCAAGUUGUCUUUCUCUUGUUGCCAUUUCUGGCGAGACUGGAGUCCGGGCAGGUAGUUACGCAGAUAACUGCUCCAGAACUGGUCUGCCAAUAUCUGGCUGUGUCUCCAGCGCUUGCGGCUGAGCAGUUCAGAUGCAGGGUAAAUUACCUGUGGCAAGGCAGAGUCUCGUCGGCCCAUUAAGAGAGAAUUAGGGGUUAUUGGAUCAGGAUCCGCUACAUCUGAGGAUACGUAUCCCAAUGGCUUUGAAUUUAGAAUUCCUUCGAUUUCAACAAGGACAGUCCUGAGCACUUCCUCCGUGACAGUUUGCACACCAAUGGUGGUGUACAGUGCAGCUUUAAGAGAUCUGAUUUCUCUUUCCCAGGAUCCUCCGAAAUGUGGGGAGUUUGGUGGAUUGUAAUGGAAGUCAAUCUGUUGCUUGGCAAGUUCUCUUUGUAACUGAGGGUGAAUAUUGUUGAAGGCCUCCUUAAGCUCAUGAUCUCCACCCUUGAAAUUGGUACCCUGAUCAGAGCACAACUCAUGAGGUUUUCCCCUACGGGCGAUGAAUCGACGUAGAGACAUGAGGAAGGAGUCUGUGUCAGCUUGAGAGAGAAGGUCGAUGUACACUGCCCUUGUGGUCAAACAUUUAUAAAUGAUACCCCAGCGUUUCUCGUUCCGGCGCCCAAUUUUGAUGGUAAAUGGGCCAAAGCAGUCCAUGCCUGUAGAGUAAAAGGCUGGUUGGAAGAGUCUUAAACUGGAAGGAGGUAAGUCAGCCAUUUUAGGUAUAUUGGGCUUGCCACGCCACCUUUGACACUCAGUACAGUGAUGCUGAAUUGAUCUUACUGCUUGACGGCCUCUCAAGAUCCAGAAGCGUCUUCUGAUUUCAGCAAAGACUCUUUCAGUACCAGGGUGAUGGAGUUGUGCAUCGUACUGCUGAAUUAGUAGUUUAGUCACUGGAUGGACUGGGUCUAGGACAAUUGGGUGAAGAAUUUCAGGACUUAGUAGAUGACAUCUUCGGAGUCGUCCACCCACUCUAAUCAGUUGCGUGUCAGAAUCAAAUUCGGCAGCUAAUGUCUUUAAAUGACUGUUUGAGGAGAUGGCUUUCCCUGCUUGAAGCUGAGCAUAUUCAUCAGGAAAACUCUCCAUUUGAGACUGUUGAAUAAUUUUGAGCUCGGCUUUCUUAUACGUGUCAGCAGUGACAGUGUCUGUGGAACUGGCCGCCCCGUGAAGGGAUCUGGCUGUUGCAUUUACAAGCUCUUGAAAAUUGUCAAAUUGAGAUGCACUGACUGAAUGCUGGUCACCCUGAGUUAUUAGAUGGAAGGAUACUGGUUUACGCAGUUCCUUUGAGGUGUCAGUUGGCACCAGAUUGGGCAUUUUGGGCCAAGACGAUAGAGGUUUCUGCAAAAAUUCUGGGCCAUUCUUCCAGCGGGUAGGUUCGGCUAGCUGAACCAGUGUCAUGCCACGAGUAAUAUCGUCAGCAGGGUUGUCUUGUGAGGGCACAUAGGACCAUAAAUGUGAAUCAGUUAGCUCUUGAAGCUCCGCAACUCUCGUUCCUACAAACACUUUAAAAUGGCAUGAGUCCGAUUGAAGCCAGUUGAGCACGGUUGUAGAAUCAGUCCAGUAUCUGAAACUGCUGAUGUUUAGUGUGAGCUCUCUUUGCAGAACUGCUGCCAAUUGUGCUCCAGUUAAAGCAGCACAUAGCUCGAGUCGGGGAAUUGUUUGCUGCUUCUUUGGAGCUACUCGUGAUCUAGCUGCCAAGAAUGACACCUCUAUCUGUCCUUUGCUAUCUUCAGUGCGGAGAUAGGCUACAGCUCCAUACGCUCGCUCUGAGGCAUCACAGAAUGUGUGCACAGUUCUUGAGCUUAUCAAUGGAUCUACAUUUGUAGUGUAGCAUCUGGGAAGUGUGACACAGGAAAGUUGUGGAAGCUCAUCUUCCCAUGUGAGCCAUGCAUUUCUGAGGUCAGUGGGCAGUUCAGGGUCAUCCCAUUCUCUUUUUUUGUCCCAAAGCCUCUGGACUAUGAUCUUAGCUCUAGUGGUAAAUGGGGUGAUGAAUCCCAAGGGAUCAUACUGACUGGAAAGGACGCUAUAUAUGUGUCGCAUAGUGGGCUCAGUUUUUACGACAUGGCCAUGUUUAUAACCAAGGGUGUCGGAUCUGCACUGCCACCUAAGUCCUAGUGUGCGCUCCUGGGGGUCGGCCCUGUCUGAACUAAACCAAAGCUCAUGGUUCUCUGACCUGAUUUGCUGCGGCAGGUGUUGCAGCAGUUGGGGAGUGUUACUAGCCCAUUGACGCAGUUCAAAUCCACCCUUGGCCAGCAGAUGUCGCAUAUCAUCCACUAAUUGUCUGGCAAUCUCAAAAGAGGGGACACUCUGCAACCAGUUGUCCACAUAGAAACAACGAUCUACUGCUACUCGUACCUCAUUAUCCGGUUGGCUGUGAUCAGCAACAUGUUUCGAAGAGCAAAGGUUGCACAGCAGGGGCUGCACGUGGUGCCAAAGGGUAACACUGACCACUGAUAGACAUCAGGUGCAUUGGUCGGUUUCAGGUCUCGCCACAGGAAUCGCAAGAAUGGUUGGUCUUCUGGUAGGAGACGCACCUGAUGAAACAUCCCCUUUAUGUCACUGCUAAUGGCUACUGCAUGCUCUCUGAAACGGAGAAGUACUCCCAGCAAGGUAGCACCCAGAGUUGGCCCAGGAAUAAGAUAUUCAUUUAAGUUCAGCCCUUGGAAGUUGAAAGAACAAUUGAAUACUAUCCUGUUCUUUCCGUUGUGGUGGACCAUGUGAUGUGGAAUAUACCACCCUGAAGUCUGUACAGCUGUGGAUUUGGGAAUUUUUCUCACAUAGCCUGAUUCUAGCAGCCUGUUCAUCUCAGAUGUGUAUGCUUGGGAUUUCUCAAAGCUCUGUGCCAGCUGAUUUUCAGUCCUUCUCAAAUGAGGCAUUACCGCUUCCUUUGGAGCAGCUAGAG
Molecule: long non-coding RNA, 3136 nt
Organism: Cyprinus carpio carpio
Lineage: Eukaryota; Metazoa; Chordata; Actinopteri; Cypriniformes; Cyprinidae
Source: Ensembl